Molecule: ribosomal RNA, 389 nt
Filed under: uncultured bacterium
Lineage: Bacteria
Description: bacterial SSU rRNA
Rfam family: Bacterial small subunit ribosomal RNA
Source: RNAcentral
GACGAACGCUGGCGGCGUGCUUAACACAUGCAAGUCGAGCGGUAAGGCCCUUUCGGGGGUACACGAGCGGCGAACGGGUGAGUAACGACGUGGGUGACCUGCCCUCAGCUCUGGGAUAAGCCCGGGAAACUGGGUCUAAUACUGGAUAUGACUCCAUGACGCAUGUUGUGGGGUGGAAAGCCUUGUGCGGCUGAGGAUGGGCCCGCGGCCUAUCAGCUUGUUGGUGGGNGAUGGCCUACCAAGGCGACGACGGGUAGCCGGCCUGAGAGGGCGACCGGCCACACUGGGACUGAGACACGGCCCAGACUCCUACGGGAGGCGAGCAGUGGGGAAUCUUGCGCAAUGGGCGAAAGCCUGACGCAGCGACGCCGCGUGAGGGAUGACGGCCU